CCUACGGGUGGCUGCAGUGAGGAAUAUUGGUCAAUGGGCGCGAGCCUGAACCAGCCAAGUAGCGUGAAGGAUGACUGCCCUACGGGUUGUAAACUUCUUUUAUCAAGGAAUAACGUGAGCCACGUGUGCCUUUUUGUAUGUACUUUAUGAAUAAGGAUCGGCUAAGUCCGUGCCAGCAGCCGCGGUAAUACGGAGGAUCCGAGCGUUAUCCGGAUUUAUUGGGUUUAAAGGGAGCGUAGAUGGGUUGUUAAGUCAGUUGUGAAAGUUUGCGGCUCAACCGUAAAAUUGCAAUUGAUACUGGCAGCCUUGAGUACAGUUGAGGUAGGCGGAAUGCGUGGUGUAGCGGUGAAAUGCUUAGAUAUCACGAAGAACUCCGAUUGCGAAGGCAGCUUACUAAACUGCCACUGACAUUGAUGCACGAAAGUGUGGGUAUCAAACAGGAUUAGAUACCCGGGUAGUC
This 460-nucleotide ribosomal RNA is filed under the name uncultured bacterium. Its description in RNAcentral is "partial 16S ribosomal RNA". It matches the Rfam family "Bacterial small subunit ribosomal RNA", at positions 338 to 795 of the family's 1533-position model. The record is from RNAcentral.